This 267-nucleotide unclassified non-coding RNA is filed under the name Glomeraceae sp. Its description in RNAcentral is "partial contains 5.8S ribosomal RNA and internal transcribed spacer 2". The stretch from base 1 to 65 matches the Rfam family "5.8S ribosomal RNA", at positions 84 to 154 of the family's 154-position model. Lineage: Eukaryota; Fungi; Glomeromycota; Glomeromycetes; Glomerales; Glomeraceae. The record is from RNAcentral.
GUGAAUCAUCGAAUUUUUGAACGCAAAUUGCACUCACCUCGGAGAGUAUGCCUGUUUGAGGGUCAGCCUAUAAAAAAUCGACAUCGUUGCUGUUUCGCGGUGGCGUUCGUCGGAAAUUGGGUCAUCUUAAAUCCUUUUGAUUUAAGCGACUUAAAAUUUUCUUUUUGUUCCAUGAACGUUUCUAAGAUUUAUUUCUUUACACGUUUAAGGUUAUCGAUUUUUAUUAGAUGUUACCAUCAGAUCGGUUCGCGUUCAUAAUCUAUAUUU